RNAcentral lists this small nucleolar RNA (83 nucleotides) under Echeneis naucrates (live sharksucker). RNAcentral's name for it is "Small nucleolar RNA SNORD100 (ENSENLG00000012157.1)". It matches the Rfam family "Small nucleolar RNA SNORD100". From Rfam's summary of the family: The members of this family belong to the C/D class of snoRNAs which contain the C (UGAUGA) and D (CUGA) box motifs. Most of the members of the box C/D family function in directing site-specific 2'-O-methylation of substrate RNAs. HBII-429 (SNORD100) is predicted to guide the 2'O-ribose methylation of 18S rRNA G436. Lineage: Eukaryota; Metazoa; Chordata; Actinopteri; Carangiformes; Echeneidae. The record is from Rfam by way of RNAcentral.
UGAAUCAGUGAUGAUAACUUGGCUCCCUCUACUGAAUACUGUGAGGAGAUUGCCACUGUUACCCAAAUUUUGUCUGAGAUAUG